RNAcentral lists this ribosomal RNA (356 nucleotides) under uncultured bacterium. RNAcentral's name for it is "bacterial SSU rRNA". It matches the Rfam family "Bacterial small subunit ribosomal RNA", at positions 8 to 350 of the family's 1533-position model. The record is from RNAcentral.
AGAGUUUGAUCCUGGCUCAGGAUGAACGCUAGCUACAGGCUUAACACAUGCAAGUCGAGGGGAAACGACAUCGAAAGCUUGCUUUUGAUGGGCGUCGACCGGCGCACGGGUGAGUAACGCGUAUCCAACCUGCCCACCACUUGGGGAUAACCUUGCGAAAGUAAGACUAAUACCCAAUGACGUCUCUAGAAGACAUCUGAAAGAGAUUAAAGAUUUAUCGGUGAUGGAUGGGGAUGCGUCUGAUUAGCUUGUUGGCGGGGUAACGGCCCGACCAAGGCGACGAUCAGUAGGGGUUCUGAGAGGAAGGUCCCCCACAUUGGAACUGAGACACGGUCCAAAACUCCUAACGGGAGGCA